AAAGGUAUUCAGUAAAAAGUAUCCCUAAAAACUGAAAGUAAAAUUAUGUACAGAUUUGGAGCAAUAACUAGAGAGGAACUAUUUCAAGUGACUUAAAAGACAAUUGUUAGAAGCAGGGUUUCUUAACCUCAGCAUGACUGACAUUUUGAGCCAGAUAAUUAUUUGUGGGGAGUGGGGGUGGGGACAGGGCAGUUGUCCUGUGCAUCAUGCGACGUUAGCAGCAUCCAAGGCUCAGCGAGCUUCUAUAAUUGGCAACAACUGGCACAUACUGCCAUACAUCAUUGCUGGGAGGAUUAAGUGCUGUCUGUGCGACACCACUGGGGGAGUGUUUUAAAAUAUAGGUUUUAGGUGGGAAGAUCAUUUGAGCUCAAGCAUUCGAGACUAGCCUGGGCAACACAGCAAGACACCCGUCUCCAAAAAAGUAAGAUAAAAAAAUAUAAAAUAUAGGUUUUAUUAUUAUUCAAGUAUGGUGAGGGCAAUAGAUCAGGUGACUGCCAUUGACAAGAAAGCUUGUUGUACUUACAGAUUCCAAAAGGGGCAUGGCACGCCACAGGGAGCCACACUGGAAGCCCAGGGUCAGUGAGGAGGUAGAGGGAACGAUGGGAUCAAGUGGAGUAAGAGCCUUGUGAUCUCCAUGGGAAGGAAGGGGCAAGGCCGAGUAAACAGACUGGCGAGUUCGAAUAAUUUCAGCAGGCUGUGGGGCCUAGGGGCUGUCCCUAGCUUUCUGGUACCUGGCCCUGCGGUGAUUAGGGCAGGUGGAUAUCCCAGAGUAUGGGAUAUUGGCUCAGAGUAUGAGACGUCCUGUAAAGGAGAGAUUGGGGUAUGGGCUCCAGAUUGGUUGGUUUACAUAUGAAAGGAGCAGUCAUAGGUGAGUCAUUUACUCUCUCCAGGAAUUGGCUAGCCUUGGGAGGAACAAUCUCUCCACCGAGUGAGCAAGGCCCCUCCCAUGUCAAAGAAUCAAACACGCACGGUUCAUAUUGAGGGUACAACUGGAAGCUUGUGCUUGUUUUCUGCUGGACUUCGCUCACGCACCUUCUCCGUUUGCUGAUUUUAAUCUGUAUCCUUUCACUAAAAUAAACAGGAAUGAUGUGUAUAGCAGCUUUUCAGAGUUCUGUGAAUCUAUCUUGUGAAUCAUCAAGCAUGAGGGUGGUCUCAGGGACCCCUGACACGGCUGCUAGAACCAUCAGGUGGAAGGUUAGUGGGGUACUUUAUAAUGGAAAAGACCAGACUGACACCACAGACCCCAUUGCUCAGUCACAGCGUGUGGAACCACCAGAUGUCACGUUCCUCUCCAUAUGAUGCAAAACAAAGAUGCAGAGUCACUCAGGAAGUACUUAUGUCAGAUCAACCGCACCUGAAUCUAAUCAAGGCUCUUUGUGUAACUGCACAUUUUUAGGAAAUACUGGGGAGACAGGAACCUUUAAACAACACUGGGAGGAAAUGAGCAGUGAAAUACAAAAUGUGGGAAAUUCUACAGGACAAAAAACCCACCUUUCAACACAGAAAAAAGGGUAACUGUUACAGAUUUAAAGAGACAAAAGACCCCAUCAAUCAAAUGCACAGUGUGGCUCUUAUUUAGAUCUUAAUUUGAACAAAUAAACAGUCAAAAUACAUUUUUGAGACAACAUGGGAAAACUGAGCAGACUACAUAUUAGAUAUUAAGGAUAUUAAUUCUGUUGGGUGAAAUACGAUGGUUAGGAUUUGCUUUAAAUGGUCAAAGAAAAAAAUAUUGGCGGGGACGAGGCAAUAGAUCAAACAAGAGCAGCAAUAAAGCUGACGUUUGCUAAGUUUGAGUGGUGGUUCAGGGAGUCCACUGUGCUAGUCUAUAUUUGUGACUAAAAAUUUCCAUAACAAGUUCAAAAAAGAAAAUGUAUUUAAAAAUUAGAAGCAGUUAUCAGCCAAAUAUAGGUUAAGAAACAUUAGUAAAAUAAAAAUCCUUUCACUUGCCGUUAAAAAUAAAAAACAGUAAAAACACAUUUUAUAAAUAUAUGAAAUCUGAGAGCCUGCCAAGAUUGCAGAGAUGUGAUUGUAAGGCACAGAUGAGAUUUUAAACCUGGGUUUUUAGAGAUUAAAAUAAAAUGUAGGAUGGUUUAAGCACCUACUUUUAGCUCUUGAGAAAACAGGUACAGUCCAAAGUGAAGCUGCCUUUAGUCUCUAGCCUUCAUGUUUUUUUUCUAGUCUCUAUUCUGAAGUCUAAAUUUGUUGGUUUUUUUGGGGGGUGAAAAUUUAACAUAAAAUUUAGGCAUAAAAAACAUUAUCCUUUUACGUUUUAAUAUAAGUCUUUAUCCUUUAAACUAAGAUCUCAUAAGAGAGAGACGCAUCAUCCUUUAGAUAAAAGCUCCCGACAGCCCAGGUGUCCCAGCUGCUGUCAUAAUGUAAGAUUUGGGGCCAGGCAAAAGAAACUGAUUAAAGCAGAAUACUGGAGAUCCUGGCCUUCAAGUAGUGAUAUUUUUGCUUUUUUUUUUUUUGAGACGGAGUUUCACUCUUAUUGCCCAGGCUGGAGUGCAAUGGCACAAUCUUGGCUCACCACAACCUCCGCCUCCUGGGUUCAAGCGAUUUUCCUGCCUCAGUCUCCCGAGUAGCUGGGAUUACAGGCAUGUACAACCACGCCCAGCUAAUUUUGUAUUUUUAGUAGAGACGGGGUUUCUCCAUGUUGGUCAUUGCCUUUUUUUUUUUUUUUUUCUUUGAGACAGAGUCUCACUUUGUUGCCCAGGUUUGAGUGCAGUGGUGCGAUCUCAGCUCACUGAAACCUCCGCCUCCCAGGUUCAAGCGAUUCUCGUGCCUCAGUCCCCCAAGUAGCUGGGACUACAGGCAUGCGCCACCACGCCCAGCU
This 2833-nucleotide long non-coding RNA is filed under the name Homo sapiens (human). RNAcentral's name for it is "HSALNT0233664". Lineage: Eukaryota; Metazoa; Chordata; Mammalia; Primates; Hominidae. The record is from RNAcentral.